UACGUAGGGGGCGAGCGUUGUCCGGAAUCAUUGGGCGUAAAGCGCGUGUAGGCGGCUCGGUAAGUCUGCUGUGAAAGUCCAGGGCUCAACCCUGGAAUGCCGGUGGAUACUGUCGAGCUUGAGUCCGGAAGAGGCGAGUGGAAUUCCUGGUGUAGCGGUGAAAUGCGCAGAUAUCAGGAGGAACACCAAUGGCGAAGGCAGCUCGCUGGGACGUGACUGACGCUGAGACG
Molecule: ribosomal RNA, 230 nt
Filed under: uncultured microorganism
Description: partial 16S ribosomal RNA
Rfam family: Bacterial small subunit ribosomal RNA
Source: RNAcentral